GAUGAACGCUGGCGGCGUGCUUAACACAUGCAAGUCGAACGAAGCAUUUAAAACGGAUUUUUUCGGAAUGAAGUUUUUUAUGACUGAGUGGCGGACGGGUGAGUAACGCGUGGGUAACCUGCCUCACACAGGGGGAUAGCAGUUGGAAACGACUGGUAAUACCGCAUAAGCGCACAGCUUCGCAUGAAGCGGUGUGAAAAACUCCGGUGGUGUGAGAUGGACCCGCGUCUGAUUAGGUAGUUGGUGAGGUAACGGCCCACCAAGCCGACGAUCAGUAGCCGACCUGAGAGGGUGACCGGCCACAUUGGGACUGAGACACGGCCCAGACUCCUACGGGAGGCAGCAGUGGGGAAUAUUGCACAAUGGAGGAAACUCUGAUGCAGCGACGCCGCGUGAGUGAAGAAGUAUUUCGGUAUGUAAAGCUCUAUCAGCAGGGAAGACAGUGACGGUAC
RNAcentral lists this ribosomal RNA (452 nucleotides) under uncultured bacterium. Its description in RNAcentral is "bacterial SSU rRNA". It matches the Rfam family "Bacterial small subunit ribosomal RNA", at positions 28 to 478 of the family's 1533-position model. The record is from RNAcentral.